Molecule: non-coding RNA, 1149 nt
Organism: Malus domestica (apple)
Lineage: Eukaryota; Viridiplantae; Streptophyta; Magnoliopsida; Rosales; Rosaceae
Source: RefSeq, a predicted model, not a curated record
ACUUCCACUGUCUAUUUGCUUUUUCAUUCUGAAACCACCCAUCUCCAUUUCUUCCUAAUUUUGCUCCGACCCUCUCCCUCUCUUCGUCUUUUUCUUUUCCUUUCCACUCUCUCCUCCCUCAAAACAGCGUCAUUCAUCACCCCCUUUUGUUCUUUUUUUUUUUCCCUUUCCUUUUCUUUGAUGUUGUGAUUCCUCUAAAGACCGAGGCGAACGCUAAGCCGAGGGAGGAUGACGACGAGCCCGAAGAAGGAGAGAUCGUCGGCAACCAAGACUCGGCGUCGUCGAAGCCUUCGAAGGGAAUUGCGCCGCAGUCUCACGCCCUGGAGCACUCCUGGACCUUCUGGUUCAAUAGCCCUGCCGCAAAGUCCGCCAAGUCCAAGCAGGAGGAUUGGGGCAGCUCCAUCGGCCCGAUCUACACCUUCAUUACCGUCGAGGAGUUCUGGAGUUUGUGAUAGAACAAAUUUGGCCAUUUUUUGGUGGUGGAAGAACCCUCGCAGGGAGGAGGAAGAAGCCCAGAACUCACAGAAGGGCUCUCAGGGAGGAGGAAGAAGCCGGUCUUAGCAAGUCCCAUGGUUUGGGGAGUGCCUCGCUAAGAACCUUUAAGGAGGCCUCUAGUCCACACGAGUCCCCUUUAGUCCCACUUAACUUAGUCCCAUCACCUAUCAAACAUGGGACUGUAGUCCAGUCCAGUCCAGUCCCUCCUAAGGAGGUGAAACAAACGCCCCCUUAAGUGACGUGGAAGAAAAUUCAGAAGAAAAUCCAAAAGACUUUGAUGAAGUUCCAAUCAAAUUGUUGAAAAAAAAAAUCAUCACCCAUUGGUACAAAGACAGGUCCUCUUGCUUUAAAAAAAGACUAGGUUGCUUUCCCAGUGGUGAAAAAUACUUGACCAAAACGUCAGUUGUUCCAGGCAUCAAAUUUACAGUCCUUUCUCAAUAUAUGUAUCAAACAUCCCUAAUAUUUUUGGCCAUGUAAAUAGCUCUCUCUAAUCUAGACAGCACAAUAUUUUUUGGUAUGUAAAUAAUUCUGUCUAACCUAGGGAGCAUAAUAUUUUUUGCAUGUAAAUAGUCCAUCACUAUACAAUCUUUAGUAUCUAAGUGCUUUGGUGCAGCACAAUGGAUGACUGUAAUAUUUUUUGUAUGUAGAUUACCA